AUGACCUUCAGCGUCUCGGCGGCGAUGGAGGGGGGCCACGAGUACAUGAUCCGCUUCGACGGCCACUUCGACGACCCGUCGCCCAGCACUGCCACCGCCGAGCCGCCGCCAGCGCCGCCGCAGCCGUUCGCGGGCAGGGCGAUCUCGCCGGAGCAGGAGCACAGCGCCAUGGUCGCCGCGCUGCUGCACGUCAUCUCCGGGUACACCACGCCGCCGCCGGACUUCUUCCCGGCGGCCGCGAGCAAGGAGGUGUGCCCGGCGUGCAGGGUGGACGGCUGCCUCGGCUGCGAGUUCUUCGGAGCGGAGGCAGGGACAGGGCCGGUCGCGGCGGCAUUGGACGCGCCGAAGGUGACUGCGGCGACGGCGGGCGGGCCGCAGAGGCGGCGAAGGAACAAGAAGAACAAGUACCGGGGCGUCAGGCAGCGCCCGUGGGGCAAGUGGGCAGCGGAGAUCCGCGACCCGCGCCGCGCCGUGCGGGUGUGGCUCGGGACCUUCGACACCGCCGAGGACGCCGCCAGGGCCUACGACCGCGCCGCCAUCGAGUUCCGCGGCCCGCGCGCCAAGCUCAAUUUCCCCUUCCCCGAGCAGCAGCAGCAGCUGGGCGACGGGAAUGCCGCCGCGGCCAAGUCCGGCACGUGCUCGCCCUCGCCCCGCAGCGCCGACGUCGAUGUCCGGGUCCCGCAGGCGUGGCAGCAGAACGGCGGGCAGGAAACAGGGGAUCAGCUCUGGGACGGCCUGCAGGACCUGAUGAAGCUAGACGAGAGCGAGCUCUGGUUCCCGCCAUCUGGAAAUUCGUGGGACUGA
This 804-nucleotide ribosomal RNA is filed under the name Triticum aestivum (bread wheat). RNAcentral's name for it is "partial small subunit ribosomal RNA". The record is from RNAcentral. Lineage: Eukaryota; Viridiplantae; Streptophyta; Magnoliopsida; Poales; Poaceae.